GUAUAGUAGUGCGUGUGCACAACAGUAAUUUCAUUCCAUUCGAGUGUGUGUGUAAAAAUCCUCUGCCAGCCGAAGCUAGCAAGAGGCCAAAGGUUCACAGGGUAGUAGUGGAUGAAAGCCACCAACGUGCACUUGCUCGCGAGAGCCAGCACCGAAGGUAACCAUUCGCAAUCAUUAAUGAUCCUUCCGCAGGUUCACCUACGGAAA
RNAcentral lists this unclassified non-coding RNA (207 nucleotides) under uncultured fungus. RNAcentral describes it as "sequence contains ITS1". The record is from RNAcentral. Lineage: Eukaryota; Fungi.